This 2290-nucleotide long non-coding RNA is filed under the name Equus caballus (horse). RNAcentral's name for it is "lncRNA (ENSECAG00000043230.2)". The record is from RNAcentral. Lineage: Eukaryota; Metazoa; Chordata; Mammalia; Perissodactyla; Equidae.
AGGACCAGUGGCCUUAUGAGAAGAGGAAGCUCUUUCUCUCCCUCCCUCUGUCUCCCUCUGUCUCCAUCUCCCUCCCUCUCCCUCCCCCUCUCUCCUCCCCAUCCCCACCCCCUUCCUGCCCCAUGUGAGGACACAGCGAGUAGGGAGCCAUCUGCAAGCCAGGAAGAGAGGUCUCACCAGAAACUGACCCUGCUAAUCUGGGACUUCUAGCCUCGAGAACUGGCAGAAGAAACAUAUAUGAAGCCACAAUGUACCAGUUCAUCUCAAUUAUGGUUUGAAGGCCUUUUUGAGAGGAGAGACAAAUCUUUUGUUUCUAUCAUCCUCCAGCAUUAUCUUGGCACUAGUCGUUGAUCCAAAUAAGAAACUUCUUUCCUUAAGUUUCCUCACAAACAACAUCAUCCUUUUUUUUUUUUUUUGAGGAAGAUUAGCCCUGAGCUAACAUCUGCUGCCAAUCCUCCUCUUUUUGCUGAGGAAGACUGGCCCUGAGCUAACAUCCGUGCCCAUCUUCCUCCACUUUAUAUGUGGUACACCUACCACAGCAUGGCUUGCCAAGCGGUGCCAUGUCUGCAACCAGGAUCUGAACCGGUGAAACCCGGGCUGCUGAAGCAGAACGUGUGAACUUAACCACUGUGUCACUGGGCUGCUCCAACAUCAUUCUAUUUUUUAACAGGAUGUCUAAAGGCUCUGAAAAUCAGAUCCAGAGAGAUCAUUUAAUCUCUAUUUAAUCAAAAUAAUCUCAAUAGUCAAUCUAGUCUGACCUGAAACUUUGUAAUUUUAGUCCAUUCUUGUUUAAAUGAUCAACUUACAAAAACAAAUUAACCAGGAGAUCCUCUUCAAUUUGCAAAAAAUCUUUAAGGAGCAAUCAAAUGCAGCCCACAGAGGCUUUCCAGCCACCAUGUCUCUCUAACUAGAGUAACUAGUUAAGUUUCCAGUUUCCUAGAAACAGCUCAUAGUCUUUCUACAAUCUUAGCUUCUCAUCUGGAAGUGACUUGGUUUGGAUAAUAAAUUAUAUGGUCAUCAUAUUUAUAAGGUUUAGGUCCUUGGCAGUUUGCAUAUUAGUAGUUUACCCCUCUAGUGACCCUCAGGUGGUCCAUAAGCCAAGUCUACCUCUCAUGUCAGGCUCUAAUGGUGCACUGAGGAAAACAGGCACAUGGUGGGACAAUGGGCAGACCAGACAUAUUGGAACAUGCAAGCGUCUAGAUGCAGGAUUCUACAAAAAGGGGUGUCAGAGUGACAAAGAGUCUGCCAUGGAGCAUGUGAGGUCAGAGGAAGGAAGUGCAUGUGAUUCAAACAUAAAUAUAUUGAAUCAUGAUAGACAGAAGUUCUCUGGACAGAGAACAGUUAUGUGCAGACAGAAAACAGGUGGACAUGUACAGCUCACCAUGAGACAAACUGCAGUGGCAACUCAAGAGGGGAGCAUGUGAAUUUCCUGACUGUUCUUUGAGAAGAAUUGCACUGUUUGAAAAUCUUUUCUGCCUUUAGUCUAUGGAUCCUGAAAGCAGUAGAGGCAGUGGUGAUUGGGGUGAUUUGGAACUUUGUAUAUUAUGUCUUUGUUAUUGAUUUCAAAUUUUUUUUUCUGGGUUUUUUUUUUACUCCCCAGAUCCCCCUAGUAGAUAGUCGUAUAUUUUAGUUGUGGGUCCUUCUAGUUGUGGCAUGUGGGACGCUGCCUCACUGUGGCCUGAUGAGCAGUGCCAUGUCUGUGCCCAGGAUGCAAACCGGUGAAACCCUGGGCCACCAUAGCGGAGUGCGUGAACUUAAUCACUCGGCCACGGGGCUGGCCCCCCAAUUUUUUGCUAUUGGUCUAUAUGAUAUUAAUUAUUUGGGUUUUUAGAACUUUUUUCUUGUAGAUCAGUACGUGAUUAAUCUAUGUAAAUGUUGAAUAUGUGCUUGAAAAGAAGGUAUAUUCUUUAUAAUGUGAAAAUAACUCUAUAUAUCUAAUAAUAUAAUCAUUUAAAUUAUAUUAUUUGUAUCUUCUGUACAUUGGCCUACUUUUUGGCUUUUUGAUCUAUCAGCUUUUGAGGGAAGUCUAUUAAAAUCUCCCAAAUCUUCCAUCACAAUUGCCAAUUUAUCUACUUGCCUCUGUAGGUCUAUUAGUUGUUGCAUUAUAUAGUUUGAGACUAUGCUAUUAGGUCCAUAUAGGUUCAUGAUUGUUAGCUCUUAUUACUCUACUCUUUGUUUUAUGAGAAUAUAAUAUUUCUUCUUGUUACCUAUUAAAUUUUUGUCUUUAAUUAUAUUUUGAGAGAUUUUAUGAAUUCUAGAUUUCUUUGAUUUCUUUUGGUUUUGUCUGUUU